AUUGAACGCUGGCGGAAUGCUUUACACAUGCAAGUCGAGCGGCAGCGCGGGGGCAACCCUGGCGGCGAGCGGCGAACGGGUGAGUAACGCAUCGGAACGUACCUUGUAGUGGGGGAUAACUAUCCGGAAGGAUAGCUAAUACCGCAUACGCCCUGAGGGGGAAAGGGGGGGAUCGCAAGACCUCUCGCUACAGGAGCGGCCGAUGUCCGAUUAGCUAGUUGGUGAGGUAAAGGCUCACCAAGGCGACGAUCGGUAGCUGGUCUGAGAGGAUGAUCAGCCACACUGGGACUGAGACACGGCCCAGACUCCUACGGGAGGCAGCAGUGGGGAAUUUUGGACAAUGGGGGCAACCCUGAUCCAGCCAUUCCGCGUGA
This 374-nucleotide ribosomal RNA is filed under the name uncultured bacterium. RNAcentral describes it as "bacterial SSU rRNA". It matches the Rfam family "Bacterial small subunit ribosomal RNA", at positions 29 to 404 of the family's 1533-position model. The record is from RNAcentral.